ACAUCCACGGAAUUUAGCAGAGAUGCUUUAGUGCCUUCGGGAACCGUGAGACAGGUGCCGCAUGGCUGUCGUCAGCUCGUGUUGUGAAAUGUUGGGUUAAGUCCCGCAACGAGCGCAACCCUUAUCCUUUGUUGCCAGCGGGUUAUGCCGGGAACUCAAAGGAGACUGCCAGUGAUAAACUGGAGGAAGGUGGGGAUGACGUCAAGUCAUCAUGGCCCUUACGAGUAGGGCUACACACGUGCUACAAUGGCGCAUACAAAGAGAAGCGACCUCGCGAGAGCAAGCGGACCUCAUAAAGUGCGUCGUAGUCCGGAUUGGAGUCUGCAACUCGACUCCAUGAAGUCGGAAUCGCUAGUAAUCGUAGAUCAGAAUGCUACGGUGAAUACGUUCCCGGGCCUUGUACACACCGCCCGUCACACCAUGGGAGUGGGUUGCAAAAGAAGUAGGUAGCUUAACCUUCGGGAGGGCGCUUACCACUUUGUGAUUCAUGACUGGGGUGAAGUCGUAACAAGGUAAGCGUAGUGCU
Molecule: ribosomal RNA, 526 nt
Filed under: uncultured bacterium
Lineage: Bacteria
Description: bacterial SSU rRNA
Rfam family: Bacterial small subunit ribosomal RNA
Source: RNAcentral